Ribosomal RNA from Colobus angolensis palliatus, 119 nucleotides. The record is from Ensembl. NCBI's taxonomy places the organism in Eukaryota, Metazoa, Chordata, Mammalia, Primates, Cercopithecidae.
GUCUACCACCAUACCAUCCUGAACGUAUCUGAUCUCAUCUGAUCUUGGAAGCUAAGCAAGGUCGGGUCUGGUUAGUACUUGAAUGGGAGACCCACUUGGAAUUCCAGGUUCCGUAGGCU